RNAcentral lists this ribosomal RNA (357 nucleotides) under Yersinia enterocolitica subsp. palearctica YE-P1. RNAcentral's name for it is "bacterial LSU rRNA". It matches the Rfam family "Bacterial large subunit ribosomal RNA", at positions 1 to 394 of the family's 2925-position model. The record is from RNAcentral. Lineage: Bacteria; Pseudomonadati; Pseudomonadota; Gammaproteobacteria; Enterobacterales; Yersiniaceae.
GGUUAAGCGACUAAGCGUACACGGUGGAUGCCUAGGCAGUCAGAGGCGAUGAAGGGCGUGCUAAUCUGCGAAAAGCGUCGGUAAGGUGAUAUGAACCGUUAUAACCGACGAUACCCGAAUGGGGAAACCCAGUGCAAUUCGUUGCACUAUUGCAUGGUGAAUACAUAGCCAUGCAAGGCGAACCGGGGGAACUGAAACAUCUAAGUACCCCGAGGAAAAGAAAUCAACCGAGAUUCCCCCAGUAGCGGCGAGCGAACGGGGAGGAGCCCAGAACCUGAAUCAGCGUAUGUGUUAGUGGAAGCGUCUGGAAAGUCGCACGGUACAGGGUGAUAGUCCCGUACACAAAAAUGCAUAUGU